UAGUACUAGAUUGCGUUGAAAACACGA
This 27-nucleotide small RNA is filed under the name Bombyx mori (domestic silkworm). RNAcentral describes it as "ovarian small RNA-22881". Lineage: Eukaryota; Metazoa; Arthropoda; Insecta; Lepidoptera; Bombycidae. The record is from RNAcentral.